UACGAAGGGGGCUAGCGUUGCUCGGAAUUACUGGGCGUAAAGGGCGCGUAGGCGGAUGUUUAAGUCGAGGGUGAAAGCCCAGGGCUCAACCCUGGAAAUGCCUUCGAUACUGGACAUCUUGAGUACGGGAGAGGUGAGUGGAACUCCGAGUGUAGAGGUGAAAUUCGUAGAUAUUCGGAAGAACACCAGUGGCGAAGGCGACUCACUGGCCCGUUACUGACGCUGAGGCGCGAAAGCGUGGGGAGCAAACAGG
This 253-nucleotide ribosomal RNA is filed under the name uncultured bacterium. RNAcentral describes it as "partial 16S ribosomal RNA". It matches the Rfam family "Bacterial small subunit ribosomal RNA", at positions 524 to 776 of the family's 1533-position model. The record is from RNAcentral.